GGAUGUGGUGGGCGCAUUCACGACGGUCUGUCGCAUUUAAAGUUUCUGGGAGGAUUGACACAUUGAGAGCUCUUUCUUGAUUCGGUGGAUGGCGGUGCAUGUUCGCUUUUAGUUGGUGGAGCGAUUUGUCUGGUUAAUUCAGAUAACGAACGAGACGCCAGUCUAUUAAAUAUGUGCGUGAUUUUCUGCACCUUGCAUUCUUCUCAGAGGGAAAAGCGGCUCCUAGCCCCACGAAACAGAGCAAUAACAGGUCUGUGAUGCCCUUAGACGUCCGGGGCCACACGCGCGCCACACUGAAGGAAGCAGUGUGUUUUUAUCUUAGAAAAGAGUGGCUCGAGCAAAUACAGAGGGCUAUUUGAAGUCUAUCGGAUUAUCC
This 376-nucleotide non-coding RNA is filed under the name Ixodes scapularis (black-legged tick). Its description in RNAcentral is "Eukaryotic small subunit ribosomal RNA". The stretch from base 44 to 268 matches the Rfam family "Eukaryotic small subunit ribosomal RNA", at positions 1229 to 1477 of the family's 1831-position model. Lineage: Eukaryota; Metazoa; Arthropoda; Arachnida; Ixodida; Ixodidae. The record is from Rfam by way of RNAcentral.